GGCCGCGGGAAUUCGAUUCAGGCCUAACACAUGCAAGUCGAGCGGUAGAGAGAAGCUUGCUUCUCUUGAGAGCGGCGGACGGGUGGGUAAUGCCUAGGAAUCUGCCUGGUAGUGGGGGGUAACGUUCGGAAACGGACGCUAAUACCGCAUACGUCCUACGGGAGAAAGCAGGGGACCUUCGGGCCUUGCGCUAUCAGAUGAGCCUAGGUCGGAUUAGCUAGUUAGUGAGGUAAUGGCUCACCAAGGCUACGAUCCGUAACUGGUCUGAGAGGAUGAUCAGUCACACUGGAACUGAGACACGGUCCAGACUCCUACGGGAGGCAGCAGUGGGGAAUAUUGGACAAUGGGCGAAAGCCUGAUCCAGCCAUGCCGCGUGUGUGAAGAAGGUCUUCGGAU
RNAcentral lists this ribosomal RNA (396 nucleotides) under uncultured bacterium. RNAcentral's name for it is "bacterial SSU rRNA". It matches the Rfam family "Bacterial small subunit ribosomal RNA", at positions 39 to 423 of the family's 1533-position model. The record is from RNAcentral.